UCAGAUGUUGAACGUGAAGGAUAACGUUGCGUCAGCAACGGCCCGUAGGGCAAGGCGAAGCCGAGUCAUCCUGCACGACCCACCA
Molecule: small RNA, 85 nt
Filed under: Salmonella enterica
Lineage: Bacteria; Pseudomonadati; Pseudomonadota; Gammaproteobacteria; Enterobacterales; Enterobacteriaceae
Also listed under: 1 other name
Description: partial RtT sRNA
Rfam family: RtT RNA
About the family: This family represents a bacterial cis-regulatory element known as RtT RNA. The exact function of RtT is unknown although it is thought that it may be involved in changing the cellular response in relation to amino acid starvation.
Source: RNAcentral